RNAcentral lists this ribosomal RNA (467 nucleotides) under uncultured bacterium. Its description in RNAcentral is "bacterial SSU rRNA". It matches the Rfam family "Bacterial small subunit ribosomal RNA", at positions 337 to 796 of the family's 1533-position model. The record is from RNAcentral.
UCCUACGGGAGGCAGCAGUGGGGAAUAUUGCACAAUGGGGGGAACCCUGAUGCAGCCAUGCCGCGUGAAUGAAGAAGGCCUUCGGGUUGUAAAGUUCUUUCGGUGACGAGGAAGGCGACUGUUUUAAUAGAACAGUCGAUUGACGUUAAUCACAGAAGAAGCACCGGCUAACUCCGUGCCAGCAGCCGCGGUAAUACGGGGGGUGCGAGCGUUAAUCGGAAUAACUGGGCGUAAAGGGCACGCAGGCGGUUGUUUAAGUGAGGUGUGAAAGCCCCGGGCUUAACCUGGGAAUUGCAUUUCAGACUGGACAACUAGAGUACUUUAGGGAGGGGUAGAAUUCCACGUGUAGCGGUGAAAUGCGUAGAGAUGUGGAGGAAUGCCGAAGGCGAAGGCAGCCCCUUGGGAAUGUACUGACGCUCAUGUGCGAAAGCGUGGGGAGCAAACAGGAUUAGAUACCCUGGUAGUCC